GUAAUGUGGCAGUUUGAACCAAUGUAGCUUGGGAAGGGGGAAACCAAAACCGGCCCCCUAUAGCUGGUCUAGUUCUGGUUCAGACCCUUGAACCAUUGACCCAGGCAUCAUUUAUGUAUCUCCAUUAAAGUGGUUAUUCUUUCGUAUGAAAUGAACUCGCAAGUUCUCUGAAUGGCUUGUGAUCUGUAUGGUAUCAAUUUCUUAAACUCUCAUGGUUAUUCUAUCAUCCUUCCUUUACAUGAUUUAGAAGUUUGUUCCUUGCCACAGCACCAACCAAUAAUGCUGUUACUCAGGUAGCUAUCCUGCUUGCGAACAAGUUCUUUGCUGUCUUGUUUUGUUAAGGAAGUUUAAGACUAAUUGUGGCUAGAUGGACUUCUUUACAUUCUUAGACUGCCUUGGAGGU
Molecule: unclassified non-coding RNA, 403 nt
Filed under: Hevea brasiliensis (rubber tree)
Lineage: Eukaryota; Viridiplantae; Streptophyta; Magnoliopsida; Malpighiales; Euphorbiaceae
Source: RNAcentral